This 380-nucleotide ribosomal RNA is filed under the name uncultured eukaryote. RNAcentral describes it as "partial 18S ribosomal RNA". It matches the Rfam family "Eukaryotic small subunit ribosomal RNA", at positions 592 to 976 of the family's 1831-position model. The record is from RNAcentral.
CAAUAGCGUAUAUUAAAGUUGUUGCGGUUAAAAAGCUCGUAGUUGGAUUUCUGCCGAGGACGACCAGUCCGCCCACUGGGUGAGCAUCUGGCUCAGCCUUAGCAUCUUCUUGGAGAACGUAUCUGCACUUCAUUGUGUGGUGCGGUAACCAGGACUUUUACUUUGAGGAAAUUAGAGUGUUUCAAGCAGGCGUGCGCCUUGAAUACAUUAGCAUGGAAUAAUAAGAUAGGACCUUAGUUCUAUUUUGUUGGUUUCUAGAGCUGGGGUAAAGAUUAAUAGGGAUAGUUGGGGGCAUUCGUAUUUAACUGUCAGAGGUGAAGUUCUUGGAUUUGUUAAAGACGGACUACUGCGAAAGCAUUUGCCAAGGAUGUUUUCAUUGA